UUAUGAUCAGCGGUACCA
Molecule: small nuclear RNA, 18 nt
Filed under: Arabidopsis thaliana (thale cress)
Lineage: Eukaryota; Viridiplantae; Streptophyta; Magnoliopsida; Brassicales; Brassicaceae
Description: snRNA_19208
Source: RNAcentral